Molecule: non-coding RNA, 92 nt
Organism: Mycena galericulata
Lineage: Eukaryota; Fungi; Basidiomycota; Agaricomycetes; Agaricales; Mycenaceae
Source: the annotation of a GenBank genome assembly
GGCCUGGUGGUGUAUUGGUAACACAUCUCGGAUUUAUUGGAAGCUGCUAGACGUUUAGGAGGAAGAACCCCGUUCGAUUCGGGGCCAGGCCA